CAGCCGCCGCGGGAAUACGUAGGUGGCAAGCGUUGUCCGGAAUUAUUGGGCGUAAAGGGCUCGCAGGCGGUUUCUUAAGUCUGAUGUGAAAGCCCCCGGCUCAACCGGGGAGGGUCAUUGGAAACUGGGAAGCUUGGGUGCAGAAGAGGAGAGUGGAAUUCCUCGUGUAGCGGUGAAAUGCGUAGAGAUGUGGAGGAACACCAGUGGCGAAGGCGACUCUCUGGUCUGUAACUGACGCUGAGGAGCGAAAGCGUGGGGAGCGAACAGGAUUAGAUACCCCGGUAGUCCCUGUCUCUUAUAC
RNAcentral lists this ribosomal RNA (301 nucleotides) under uncultured bacterium. Its description in RNAcentral is "partial 16S ribosomal RNA". It matches the Rfam family "Bacterial small subunit ribosomal RNA", at positions 509 to 807 of the family's 1533-position model. The record is from RNAcentral.